Long non-coding RNA from Diabrotica virgifera virgifera (western corn rootworm), 1904 nucleotides. RefSeq lists it as uncharacterized. The transcript has 2 exons. The record is from RefSeq and is a predicted model, not a curated record. NCBI's taxonomy places the organism in Eukaryota, Metazoa, Arthropoda, Insecta, Coleoptera, Chrysomelidae.
UAUAUGCAUUUUCCAAUCAAAAUUUUUAGGUUGUCAUGAGCAUGAAAGACUCGACCUCAACAAAUAAUAAUAAACAAAAAGCUCUACUUCCACUUCCCGCCAAAUAGACACAGGUUGGUGACACUGAAUUCACGCCAAAUAAAUGAAAAAAUAGAACAAUUUUCUUUUUCGUCAAUUUCUUCACGUGAAGUUUAUAACGAACAAACUUAGAUGUCAAAGUGUGCUUUUACACGUCAAAUUUGGCCUUGAAUAACUUGGUCAAUUUCUUGUCCAAUUUAUUGUUGAUGUAAAGUGGACUAUAGGUAUUUAGUCCAUUCCGAAGUUGUAGUUUGUUUUGACAUUUCCGUUUUAUUUAAGGCUAUGGGUACAUAAUUCGCAAAUAUUUUACGUGUAUCCCUACUUUUUCUGUCUUUACACGGCAAAUUACGUGUAGUAAAAUUCACGCUGGUGUGGAUAUGUAAACAUUACUAGAAUGUCAUUCUACUUGAAAAUGUCAUAAUUAAUUUAAAGAGAUGGCUUUUGAAUGUUCUUGGAUAACUGUUAUUUUUAUAAUUGCAAAUUAUUAAUUCAGUUAAUAAAUGUGAUAAUUUUUUCACUAACUAUGUUUUCAGUGAUUGUAAUAAUUUAUUUGUACAACAAAAACUAAUAAUCAAUCGAGAAAAGAGGAAAAGUGUUAAAGUGAUUUUUUAAUAAUAUGUUGUUAUUUUGGAACGCUUACAAUUUUGAACAUCUCUAACAACAAAAUACUUGGAUCACAGGAUAUAUCUGAUGUAUUCUCUGCUUGGAUCUUUCACAAAUAAUACACAAUAAAUAACUUUUUAUUAAGUUCACGUCUUAAAUCAAUUAUUUAUCAAAUACACUAUAUAUCAAUAAUAUUUAAUCAAUUUCUCAAAAUAUUCCCGAUGCAAUGUCAAAUAUUUAAAAUUGUCACUGAUUGUCAGUGUCUGACUGACAAUAUAUGCUGACAAUAUUAUAUUCGGUUGAGUGCGUUGUAAGACAAAGACAGAUUUGGAAAAUAUUACCACGGCAUUGUGUUCAUUUUUUUCAAAUCCUGAAAAAACCAAUAAAUAUUUUUGAAAAAUUUAAACGCAGAAUGAAAGACUAAAUUAUUACCGAGGGCCGAAAGUCCCUUAGAAUAAAUAAAAAGUUUAUUUUGAAUGAGAUAUUUGAAUUUAAAAAUCACACUAAAUUUUCUCUUAGUUUUUUCACCCCUGUAACUUAUUAAAAUAAACAUUGUAGAAGUUCUCAGGGACUUUCGGCCCUCGCUAAUAACGUAAUCUUUCAUUCUGCGUUUAAAUUUUUCCAAAAUACUUAUUAGUUUUCUCAGGAUUUGAAAAAAAUGAAUCCCCAUUUGAAUAGCAUUGCAGCCGAAAAUACGUUCCGAUCCUCUUAACCUAACCUAUGUUUUGUGUUUUAUUGUGUUGUAUACAAGGAGUUGUAGUUGUAUAUUGAAAUUGAAUUGAUUCUUGUUUCAUUGAAUAUAGAGGAGUUGUUCUGUUGCAAGUUGUUCUAGUUUUGUUGUUUUAAAAUCUGCGAAAAACUAUUUAUAGAUAAUGGUGAACUUAAACAAGAAAUGGACAUGCAGUUUGCUGAUUACUUAAUUGUGUACUCACAACACAUAGGAUUUCUCUGACACAGUUUCCAGUACAGAACUGCCACAGGAAUCUCCAGUGGAGUUGCAACCGCUCUCACGGACGUCCACAAAUCAAGUUACAAAACUGUUACAUGACUCUAUUGGAGUUGCAACCGCAAUUGGAUAAAAGUGAAAUUCGAAUAAUGCCAGAAAGACUAUAACCGUCCAAAGUGAUAGUGUGAAAUUAAAAUCAAAUGAUUACGUAUAAAUCAUAUUUAUAAUAAUUAUAAAUAGUAGCUGUAUUUUUUAAAUAAACAGAUUUGAUAAGUUA